UUUAAACUGUCCUCAGCCUUCCCCGUGGGAUCGGCUGGUUCUCCACGAGUUCCGAGCAGAAGAGGGGCCGGCGUUUAAGUCAAAGGCCUUGGGGCUCCGAGUCCGUUCGUCUCCCGUCCUGUGAAGGCGCGACCCAGUUCACAUGUCUGUAAAGUGAAGCCAUUAGUCCCUGCUUCGUGGUGAGAAAACUGGAAGGCGGAACGAGGAGGCCGCCGGUCCCAACCCGGCCCAGGAGCAUCUUUCUUCGCAGACCGUUUCCUGGCGAGAUCCUGCGCAGCCGAGGCUGUGUUAGCGCCAAGGACUUCCAGCAGCUGUUAGCAGAGCUUGAGCAGGAGGUGGAGCGACGGCGGCGGCUGGGGCAGGAGUCAGCAGCUAGGAAAGCCCUCAUCGCGAGUUCCUACCACCCGGCACGGCCUGAGGUCUACGACUCACUGCAGGAUGCAGCUCUGGCCCCCGAGUUUCUGGCCGUGGCUGAGUACAGCGUGUCCCCGGGCGCAGACCUCAAGGGCCUUCUCCAGCGGCUGGAGACAGUAUCGGGGCCCAGCAAGAAAGAACAGCCCCUUCUGGCCUUCCUGCUGGGGGACAGAGGCUCCCAGAGCCACUUCUGAGUUGGAGUGAUGAAACAGGAAGACUGAAGUCCAGGCCUGGCCGGCCCACGGCCAUAUUUAGGCCAACAGACCAUCCCUCCUUCCACAGAGGAGAAGCGCAUCUACCGGGUGCCUGUGUUCACAGCACCCUUCUGCCAGGCCUUGCUGGAAGAGCUGGAGCACUUCGAGCAGUCGGACAUGCCUAAGGGGAGGCC
RNAcentral lists this small RNA (802 nucleotides) under Pongo abelii (Sumatran orangutan). RNAcentral describes it as "processed transcript". Lineage: Eukaryota; Metazoa; Chordata; Mammalia; Primates; Hominidae. The record is from RNAcentral.